AACGAACGCUGGCGGCAGGCCUAACACAUGCAAGUCGAACGCUCCGCAAGGGGAGUGGCAGACGGGUGAGUAACACGUGGGAACCUUCCCAUCGCUACGGAAUAGCUCAGGGAAACUUGGGGGUAAUACCGUAUACGCCCGAAAGGGGAAAGAUUUAUCGGCGAUGGAUGGGCCCGCGGCUGAUUAGCUAGUUGGUGAGGUAACGGCUCACCAAGGCGACGAUCAGUAGCUGGUCUGAGAGGACGACCAGCCACACUGGGACUGAGACACGGCCCAGACUCCUACGGGAGGCAGCAGUGGGGAAUAUUGGACAAUGGGCGCAAGCCUGAUCCAGCCAUGCCGCGUGAGUGACGAAGGUCUUCGGAUUGUAAAGCUCUUUUGGCGGGGGACGAUAAUGACGGUACCCGCAGAAUAAGCCCCGGCUAACUUCGUGCCAGCAGCCGCGGUAAU
This 450-nucleotide ribosomal RNA is filed under the name uncultured bacterium. RNAcentral's name for it is "bacterial SSU rRNA". It matches the Rfam family "Bacterial small subunit ribosomal RNA", at positions 29 to 524 of the family's 1533-position model. The record is from RNAcentral.